UUAAAUUGAAGAGUUUGAUCAUGGCUCAGAUUGAACGCUGGCGGCAGGCCUAACACAUGCAAGUCGAACGGUAACAGGAAUCAGCUUGCUGAUUCGCUGACGAGUGGCGGACGGGUGAGUAAUGUCUGGGAAACUGCCUGAUGGAGGGGGAUAACUACUGGAAACGGUAGCUAAUACCGCAUAACGUCGCAAGACCAAAGAGGGGGACCUUCGGGCCUCUUGCCAUCAGAUGUGCCCAGAUGGGAUUAGCUAGUAGGUGGGGUAACGGCUCACCUAGGCGACGAUCCCUAGCUGGUCUGAGAGGAUGACCAGCCACACUGGAACUGAGACACGGUCCAGACUCCUACGGGAGGCAGCAGUGGGGAAUAUUGCACAAUGGGCGCAAGCCUGAUGCAGCCAUGCCGCGUGUAUGAAGAAGGCCUUCGGGUUGUAAAGUACUUUCAGCGGGGAGGAAGGGAGUAAAGUUAAUACCUUUGCUCAUUGACGUUACCCGCAGAAGAAGCACCGGCUAACUCCGUGCCAGCAGCCGCGGUAAUACGGAGGGUGCAAGCGUUAAUCGGAAUUACUGGGCGUAAAGCGCACGCAGGCGGUUUGUUAAGUCAGAUGUGAAAUCCCCGGGCUCAACCUGGGAACUGCAUCUGAUACUGGCAAGCUUGAGUCUCGUAGAGGGGGGUAGAAUUCCAGGUGUAGCGGUGAAAUGCGUAGAGAUCUGGAGGAAUACCGGUGGCGAAGGCGGCCCCCUGGACGAAGACUGACGCUCAGGUGCGAAAGCGUGGGGAGCAAACAGGAUUAGAUACCCUGGUAGUCCACGCCGUAAACGAUGUCGACUUGGAGGUUGUGCCCUUGAGGCGUGGCUUCCGGAGCUAACGCGUUAAGUCGACCGCCUGGGGAGUACGGCCGCAAGGUUAAAACUCAAAUGAAUUGACGGGGGCCCGCACAAGCGGUGGAGCAUGUGGUUUAAUUCGAUGCAACGCGAAGAACCUUACCUGGUCUUGACAUCCACAGAACUUUCCAGAGAUGGAUUGGUGCCUUCGGGAACUGUGAGACAGGUGCUGCAUGGCUGUCGUCAGCUCGUGUUGUGAAAUGUUGGGUUAAGUCCCGCAACGAGCGCAACCCUUAUCCUUUGUUGCCAGCGGUCCGGCCGGGAACUCAAAGGAGACUGCCAGUGAUAAACUGGAGGAAGGUGGGGAUGACGUCAAGUCAUCAUGGCCCUUACGACCAGGGCUACACACGUGCUACAAUGGCGCAUACAAAGAGAAGCGACCUCGCGAGAGCAAGCGGACCUCAUAAAGUGCGUCGUAGUCCGGAUUGGAGUCUGCAACUCGACUCCAUGAAGUCGGAAUCGCUAGUAAUCGUGGAUCAGAAUGCCACGGUGAAUACGUUCCCGGGCCUUGUACACACCGCCCGUCACACCAUGGGAGUGGGUUGCAAAAGAAGUAGGUAGCUUAACCUUCGGGAGGGCGCUUACCACUUUGUGAUUCAUGACUGGGGUGAAGUCGUAACAAGGUAACCGUAGGGGAACCUGCGGUUGGAUCACCUCCUUACCUUAAAGAAGC
This 1556-nucleotide ribosomal RNA is filed under the name Escherichia coli. Its description in RNAcentral is "bacterial SSU rRNA". It matches the Rfam family "Bacterial small subunit ribosomal RNA". Lineage: Bacteria; Pseudomonadati; Pseudomonadota; Gammaproteobacteria; Enterobacterales; Enterobacteriaceae. The record is from RNAcentral.